AGUAGCAAGGAAGAACCAGGUUUGGGAUUUUACGUAUCACACUGAACAGAGGCUCCAGAAGCUGAGGUCCCUAGUUGGAGGCUCUUUGCAUAUUUUAUGGUCAGUCGAAUUUGAUGACCCUGAAGAAUACAUUAUUUUAUUUAUUACAGGUCUCAAACAAUAGGUUUUGAUUUUUGUCUUUUAAACGUACAAUGCUCAUUGCACGACAGAAUUAUUGUUAUUAGUAUUAUUAGCCUUGGAAUACUGUUAGGAAAUUUCUGCUACAAGCAUUCUGGGGAGAUACCACUAUUUGAGUUGGGCAUCUGGGAGAGAUAGACAAGCUCUUAUUAUAGCAUGGAGGAUGGGGAGAUUACCUGGCCAAGUAUCAUUUCAGGUUGUGGCAGAAAGAGAUUAGCUCCAAUUUAUCGCCGCUCACAUUUUCUUCCUUCCCCCAGUUUUCUGAGUGUCAUGGAAAUGAUAUUUGUGAAUCCCAGAGGCCUCUCACAGUGAUGUCAGCUUAGAGAUCCUCCCAGAUACAUCUAAAUGUGGACAUAAAAAUGUAAUGGGAAGAAAUUGAAAAAAUAUCUGUUUCUUGAUUCUUUAUUACUGUGGAGUUAAGAAAGCUAUUUCUCAUGCUGUUUCAUAAAUUUGAAUCCAAAUGUAUAUGUUAAUAUGUACUCGGAUGGCUUUUGGAUGAUUCACACAUGUAGAUUUUUUAUAUAGUCUCAAUUUUCUAGCAAUUUAUUGAUAUAUUAUUUACGCAAUGUGUAUGUGAAUACCUUCCACAUUCUCUGUUGUCAAAUUGGUCCUAAGUGAAUGAUGAUAAGUUAAAAUAGCUAUGUUUGUGAUUCAUACUUGGUAUUUGAACUCAGUAUUUGAUUUGGAAAAAUAUAAACAUGAGCAAAAUUAAUCUUUGGCUACAUACUUAAUUAAUGUUUUGUCUAAAUUAAAUUCAAGUCUGACAAAGACAAACGGAUUUUUUUCUUCCAGUUCUCAUACUAUCUGUGUGAUACAGAAACACAUGGGUAAAAUUCAGACUGAAAAAAAACAAGACUUUAAGCUUCAAAGAGAAUGUUUUAACUUCAUGGACGGUUUAAGGCAGGAAUGCUCAAGAGGGAAUGGUAGAAUUUAGACACAUGAUGUUAAUUUGUUUUCUCAUAUCACCAUUACCUUGAUUAGUUAGGGCUCAUCAAAUAAUUUUUGCCUGGGCUGUGUUUGGGUUUUGUUUGUGCCUGGUAUGCUCUUCUCAUUCAGAAAUGUGGUUCUGACCUGGUGCUGCUUAGUCCUUAGAGAGGAUCUGGCUGGAAGGUGUGAUUUCAGCUAAUGCAAAGGAAAUACUGUCUCUGUGGUUCACAUGGAUACAGUGAGCCCCCUCAUCUCACUCAAGUGAGUGUAAACUACUGGUCCAAGCCCUUUGAGUAACCUCAGGAUUAGACCCGAGGUUCAGAAGUAUUUCUAGAUCCUCUCUGCUGAAGCCAGGCAUCACAUUACUUGGUGCAUCUGAGGUGCCAUGAGAGUUUGGCAGUAGUGGUAGUAGUAGUAGCUCCCUGUGGUGGAUAAAGAGAUAUGGCUGGAGUCUCUUGUGGAAACCCUCAAAACAUCACAAAAUCCCGACAUCUCAGACAUCUCAGAGGCAGUUAGCAUCUUGUCUUCUAAAUGAUCAUCUGCCAGCAGGCAGGUUCUUUAAGCUAGAGGUUUUCAAACUGGAGAUUAUAGACGAAUCUUUUUGUGUGUUGUGGUCUUUAAAGAUGUCACCUGUGUUUAUCAAAAAUGCAGAUGCCCAUGUUUAGACC
This is a long non-coding RNA of Perognathus longimembris pacificus (Pacific pocket mouse), 1772 nucleotides long. RefSeq lists it as uncharacterized. The record is from RefSeq and is a predicted model, not a curated record. NCBI's taxonomy places the organism in Eukaryota, Metazoa, Chordata, Mammalia, Rodentia, Heteromyidae. The transcript has 2 exons.